RNAcentral lists this long non-coding RNA (534 nucleotides) under Dasypus novemcinctus (nine-banded armadillo). Its description in RNAcentral is "lncRNA (ENSDNOG00000052954.1)". The record is from RNAcentral. Lineage: Eukaryota; Metazoa; Chordata; Mammalia; Cingulata; Dasypodidae.
GACAUUCUUGCUUCCCACGUAAGAGGUCCUGAAUUCAAUCUCUGGUACCUCCUGAAAAAAAAAAAAAAAAAAACAGUGGUGGCGGGGUGACGUCAUCAACCAGCGACGGAAGCGAUACCCGGGAAACACCUCCGCAGAGACUCUGGAGGUUGGUAGAGGCUGGAGAGGGGCUGCACAAACGCCGAAUUGAAGAAGGAGAAAAGUAUCAGGACUGAUGCUGUUACAACUACAUUGAAAGAGAGUUGACCAUCAGAAUGGUGUUUUUCUAGAGACAAAGAAGCUCUGAACUCCACUUGGAAUGAAAGGAGCCUCAUUAAUACUUGGGCUCCCUGCAUUCUGAGUCCAUUUGGAUUCUUAUGAAUAAGGGAGAGAAUAUUAACCAGCUUUGCUGUCCUUCUGCUUAUCUGGUUGUGAGUGAAAAUCCAGAGGAAGAUAGAUGCCAGCUCAGGUUUUGGCAAUGCAAUCCCAUGUGAGUAGGUAAUUCUUUGCACCUCUGUUGCCAGCAGAUGGGAAGAUUUCUCUUAUUGGUGUGAC